This 264-nucleotide ribosomal RNA is filed under the name uncultured archaeon. RNAcentral's name for it is "partial 16S ribosomal RNA". It matches the Rfam family "Archaeal small subunit ribosomal RNA", at positions 719 to 982 of the family's 1478-position model. The record is from RNAcentral.
ACAGUCACACAUUAGAUACCCGCGUAGUCCCAGCCCUAAACGAUGCGCGUUAGGUGUAUCGGUGACCACGAGUCACCGAGGUGCCGAAGGGAAACCGUGAAACGUGCCGCCUGGGAAGUACGGUCGCAAGGCUGAAACUUAAAGGAAUUGGCGGGGAGCACAACAACGGGUGGAGCUUGCGGUUUAAUUGGAUUCAACGCCGGAAAUCUUACCGGGACCGACAGCAACAUGAAGGCCAAGCUGAAGACUUUGCCGGAUUAGCUG